This is a non-coding RNA of Gymnothorax javanicus (giant moray), 73 nucleotides long. NCBI's taxonomy places the organism in Eukaryota, Metazoa, Chordata, Actinopteri, Anguilliformes, Muraenidae. The record is from the annotation of a GenBank genome assembly.
GGCACGGUGGCGCAGUGGUUAGCUCUACUAUCUCACAGAAAGAGGGUUGUAGGUUCGAAUCUGGCCAGGGGCC